Molecule: ribosomal RNA, 465 nt
Filed under: Vreelandella stevensii
Lineage: Bacteria; Pseudomonadati; Pseudomonadota; Gammaproteobacteria; Oceanospirillales; Halomonadaceae
Description: partial 16S ribosomal RNA
Rfam family: Bacterial small subunit ribosomal RNA
Source: RNAcentral
CCUACGGGGUGCUGCAGUGGGGAAUAUUGGACAAUGGGCGAAAGCCUGAUCCAGCCAUGCCGCGUGUGUGAAGAAGGCCUUCGGGUUGUAAAGCACUUUCAGUGGGGAAGAAAGCCUUGGGGCUAAUACCCUCGAGGAAGGACAUCACCCACAGAAGAAGCACCGGUUAACUCCGUGCCAGCAGCCGCGGUAAUACGGAGGGUGCGAGCGUUAAUCGGAAUUACUGGGCGUAAAGCGCGCGUAGGCGGUCUGAUAAGCCGGUUGUGAAAGCCCCGGGCUCAACCUGGGAACGGCAUCCGGAACUGUCAGGCUAGAGUGCAGGAGAGGAAGGUAGAAUUCCCGGUGUAGCGGUGAAAUGCGUAGAGAUCGGGAGGAAUACCAGUGGCGAAGGCGGCCUUCUGGACUGACACUGACGCUGAGGUGCGAAAGCGUGGGUAGCAAACAGGAUUAGAUACCCCUGUAGUC